RNAcentral lists this ribosomal RNA (253 nucleotides) under uncultured bacterium. RNAcentral's name for it is "partial 16S ribosomal RNA". It matches the Rfam family "Bacterial small subunit ribosomal RNA", at positions 524 to 776 of the family's 1533-position model. The record is from RNAcentral.
UACGGAGGGUGCGAGCGUUGUCCGGAAUCACUGGGCGUAAAGGGCACGUAGGCGGCGCGGAAAGUCAACGGUGAAAGCUUGGGGCUCAACCCCGAGUCGGCCGUCGAUACUUCCGUGCUCGAGCACUGUAGAGGCAGGUGGAAUUCCGGGUGUAGCGGUGGAAUGCGUAGAGAUCCGGAAGAACACCGGUGGCGAAGGCGGCCUGCUGGGCAGUAGCUGACGCUGAUGCGCGACAGCGUGGGGAGCAAACAGG